AUCCCUAUUUAUUCUUAUAAAAAAUGAUUAAUAAAAACACUUCAAUCUCAAUUUUUUCCAACUAGAAAACUAAAAGUACUAAAAAGGAAACGCCAAAUAACUUAUAGUAGUGAAUAGCUCACCUACCUUGUGCAUUAUGGUUUUACAAGCACAAAAAUUAAAAAUUCUCUCCCGAAUUCUAUGCGAGCUGCUCCCUUAUAGCUAAGAGCCCACUACUAGUUGUAGCACUAACUUUAGAAAAUAGGGUAGCAGGGGCUACAUACCAAACGCGCUAGAAAAUUGCUGGUUAUUAGUAAAAUUUAUACAUUAAAACAUAUAAUUCUAUUAUAUUGUAAGAUUUUAGAGGAUAAGCCCUAAGAUCUUAAGCCAAAUAAUAACCACAAAGAAACUUAUAGGCCUAAAAACAGCCAUUAUUAAUACCUUACCGUAAACACCCACAUAAUAUAUAAGCAACCUGCCCCAAAAAAACUAAUAUUUAAGAAAAACAGCAAUCUUAAUAUAAUAUGUAAAAAUAAGUAUUUUUCACCAACUAACCCAACUCUAAUUAAAUA
Molecule: ribosomal RNA, 551 nt
Filed under: Octolasion lacteum
Lineage: Eukaryota; Metazoa; Annelida; Clitellata; Crassiclitellata; Lumbricidae
Description: partial 16S ribosomal RNA
Source: RNAcentral